Molecule: non-coding RNA, 45 nt
Filed under: Schistosoma mansoni
Lineage: Eukaryota; Metazoa; Platyhelminthes; Trematoda; Strigeidida; Schistosomatidae
Source: RNAcentral
AUCCAGCUGAUGAGCCCCAGAUAAAACGAAACGCGCGUCCUGGAU